ACAAAUUCUGUCAUAUGAUGGUAUUGUAUUUACAUUAGGUUCCAUUCAGCAGUCGAUUUAAUAUUGUUUCCAUUGUGCGCUCGUCCCUCAGUGGUCGCAACACUGUUACCGUAAGUAUCGCAGGAAUCGGGCACUUCAACUAUAGCGACGAUUUGACCAGGGAAAAGCGAUCGGGGGUUCAUUGGACCGCGGUCUUUGACAGAGGUAAGAAGAAAGUCCUGGUUGUAACAGUGCAAAUAGUUUUACUAAGAUAGUUGUACGUUUAUACUUUUGCACUACACGUAAAUGGAAAAUAUUUUACCACAUUUUAUGUUUUGCAAGUUUAGCUUUAUUAGCGAUUUAUGUAUAAAUUAUAUUGGAGUGAAUUGUAUUGUAUACAUUGUAUAUAUUAUAUUACGAGCUGUUUACAAGCAAUUUUCAACUUUCUUUUUCUUUCUUUUAACUCCCUGAACGUGACAACGCAGCAGGAGACGAGCUUUCAUUGCUGAGUUUAAGUUGGAGCUUUGACACGUGUGGCGCUAGCUAGCCUACAAUGUGGCACGGCUGUCCGUGGGGUAGUGUCUACGGCGGGGCCGAUCCCGUACCGUUCUAUGCUAACGGCUAUGUGUUCGCCUUGGUGCCGGCGCCUCGGAUGCCCUUGCGUCACAACGCGCUGACUCUGAGUCCAAACCCAGGACUCAGGUGUCCGGACGAUGUGAUUAAAAAAAAGGAAGAGACCAGGAGGCUCCUCUUGGACAGGCGUUUGUUUGAUUUGGUGGAUGCUCAUCCUUAUCUUGAACUAACUGACCCCAAGUUGCUGGGCUGGUACCUUGGUUUGUCUGCAGAGGACAGGACGAUCAUCCAAGCUGACGGAGGACUUCAAAACUUUCUACUAAGACAUCCUGCCUUAGAACUGACUCCGCAUCACGUUUAUGUCAAGGCUAGAAGGGCUCAUAAAGCACCCAGAUCUAUUUUGCCAAGACAGAACCUGAGCACUAAUGGAAUGUCCCCUACAGUGCAAGAGUUGAACGUCUACAGCAAUAAUAUGUGGAAAAAUUCAGCUGUAUCAGACCCUACGAACAGACAGGAUGGGUCACAGAAACAGCCAUGUGAGGAUCCAGGAAUCCCAGGAAGCUUCUGUCUGGACACGGUGCUGGAGAGGUGCAGACCAAGCAGAAAGUCUGAGCACAGGAGCUUUAGGUUAGUGACCCAAGAUCAGACGCCCAACUUCAGCGAGGUCCAUCCAUCACAGUCUGAAUGGUCAACAAUUAAAAACACGUCUCUUACUGAGCUCUCCAGUUCUGACUAUCUCAGAACUACAGAAAAUGGCACAAAGAAAGAGAUUCAGGAUUGUCAGCGAUGAUCAGAAAACGUACUCGGGUACAGUCUCUCCAAAUGGUGAAACACUAGCACCCAGGAGUGAGCUCUUAGACGGCGGUCAGUCUCUCAACAACAGCUGCUCUGAGGAAAAAGGCCCUUUUCCGCUGCCUCGUGUUUCCUGUGACACAGAGUCUGCACAGUGUGUGUCAGCUUUCACCCAAACCAAUGAUCCAGUAUCAUCAGACAAGCAAAUCAAUACUGAAAUCUGCAUGGCAGAUGUGGACUACGUUGCUGUGGAAUUUCUCAGGCUCAAGAAAACUGAAGAGAAAGUGAAGAAUAAAUGUGACUGCAUGCAGCGCGCUCAACAAGCCGAGCUGUCUCUGCUGAGCCUGCAGUACCGCAUGUGCAGACAGCAUUGUUGGAGUCUCCACUGCGCCGCGGCUGGUGGAAACCAGGGCAGCGCUGAUGGGAAGCAACAUUGUCCAGUGGACCCUCCUGCAGACAUCAGUGCUGUUUUGAACAAACUGGAAUCUGACUAUAAUGAGCUAAGUGGUAGGAUCCUGGAAGGGGUUCCUCUAGAGCAACUGAAGCCUCUGUCAGUCAACUGUGGGAAGAUAACCCCAGCGCCUUACAUUCCUGCACAGGUCAUCGCCAGCAUGCAAGGAAGUGUUCCUCAACCGCCCCAGGAUCUGCAGAGGAACAGAACACCAACAAAUGACUCCCAGAGAGAAACCAAAGAGGUUACCCAGCAGAACAGCUCGGCCAAGAGAGCAGUCCCUGUCGUUCCUCAGGCGAGUGGAGCUCUGUGUGAUGCACAGACACUGGCAGACACUCAGACGGUUGACUGAUCAACCUCAUGGCUCCAGCGUCCACAACUCUGAUGACUGAGCUGACACGGUGCCAUCUGGACCUGGAGGCAGGAGAACUUGGGAGUCCGGGUGGAACUGAGGCCAUGUGCCAAGUUAUGAAGGAUCAGUCCUUUGGUGCCUGGAAUGUUGUGUUAACAUUAAUUUUGUUGCAUGUUGAAAUAGUUUGACAGCAGUUUAUUUCCAAGGCUUUUUUCAGUAACCUGUGUUCAUAUGAAAACAGUAUAUGAAUAUCUUGUUCUAAGGUUGUGUUUAAGGUUGCUCAUGUUGGAUGUGCAGGAAUUUGGUUGUCUGUUAAUAAAAAGUAUGUACAAAAACGCUUUGGUUAUUAU
This is a long non-coding RNA of Betta splendens (Siamese fighting fish), 2497 nucleotides long. Ensembl annotates it as RNA binding motif protein 44. The record is from Ensembl. Lineage: Eukaryota; Metazoa; Chordata; Actinopteri; Anabantiformes; Osphronemidae.